Long non-coding RNA from Bos taurus (domestic cattle), 2733 nucleotides. NCBI's taxonomy places the organism in Eukaryota, Metazoa, Chordata, Mammalia, Artiodactyla, Bovidae. The record is from Ensembl.
UUGUUUAUGGGCGGCAACCUCACGAGGGGCGUCCCAUCCUUAUUGGCUCAUUGAAGCGAAGAGUGGCAUGAGAACAACCCAAUAAUAGGAAAAGAUAGAGGGUUCGCGAUGUGAGGCGCCCAAUGUGGGCCUUCUGCCGAAGAGGUAGGGGCGGGGGGAAGUUUAGGAGUUGAGGAAAGAAGAUUAAAGAGCGCGAGGAGUUGCCGCUUCCAAGAAGAGGAGCUGAGGGGGACUAGCCUGGGCUCAGGAGCUACUAGAGGCGCCCGCUUGUCUUCCGCCCCCUCCCUUCUCGCCCUCCCCCCGCUUGCCGUGGCUCUGGCGGUCUCUGGAGCGUCUUCUGAGAACUGGGGGGCGGGAGGGGUCCUGGCCCCAGAGUCGCUGGACGCCCCUCCAGACGCCCGAGCUACCGGCCGCCGCCUGCUUCGCUGCUACGACUCUAGAGGAGGGGGCUUGGGAAGGGAAGACACUCCUUUCCUUCUUUCUCUCCUCCUGUGGGCCCCCGUGGAAACAUUAAAAAGAAAAAAAAAAAUGCUUACGGUUUUCACUAGCCGAGAGAAAUGGUUGGAAGCUUUUUAAAAGUUUGCAAGAAAUGCACUGUUUUACAUUGUUUAAUGCAUUACUAUCCGUGUGGCAUUCUGGUCUUUUCCCGCCCCACGCCCCGCCCCUCUUGAAGCUGUUAUCCUUUUUAAGGAUGCUGAAGAGGCAGGAGGCAGGGAUUUUCUAAAAGUUCUAUUGAUAAACACACUUGCACAAACAUAUGCUAGGCACACAAACUAUAAACAUGAGCGGAAAACACAAUAUGGCGUACAGCUACCCUACCUAGCGCGGUAAUCCGCUGAUCUCUUAAGGCAGCCCAGUUGAAUGGGGUCAGUAGCAGGAUGACAGUUCUCCAAUAAAAAUCUGAAUGAAGCAGGAAGUAAUUUGGAAGCAGCCGGUGGGUUAAGUACUGUCUUCAAAAUCAGCAUUGGCCCAAGAUAAGUUGAAUUUGUUAAUGUUCUAGACUUGUGAAAAUUGUCUCAGCUGCUUCUUAGCAUUAGAAAAACCGAAAUGUUGCUCAAGUGGAGUUUUCUUAUUCUGUGGUCAUGUGCAAAUUUCAGCCAAGAAAAUGAACAGAGAACAAUGUUUCCAAGCAAACUCUAAAGUUACUGUUGUUGGUAUUGAAAGUUUUAAAACAUGAAUUAUGACUGCUUUGUAAAAAAACUUCUCCAGCUUUACACAUUAAAUAAUCUGUUAUAAUUGUGCAUGCGUGCAACAAAUUCAUAAAUGACUUACUUUCCUAUCUGUUGCUCCUAAUACCAUACACCCUUCGCUAUCACUUGGGAAUAGUUAAAAUAAACCCUUCCACCCCACCACACCCCCACGUAUAAAUUUGAUCAGUCCAAUUUUGACUAAGUCCUGCAUUUCCCUUGUUUGUAGGAAAGAACCACAUCACCAGUUUACAUUAUUUUUUUAAAUGCCCUUGUUGCUCUUUGUCAUUCUUAAUCAGAGUGUAUCGAGUGCACAUAUAGUACAUGGUAAUACCAUUCACUGUGUCUUCUUGGGAGUAGUCUUGAGAAAUUUUGAAGUUGCCCUUGAAGAACUGCUGAUGUUACUCAUUGUUUAGCUGUCAAGGCUUAAGAAUACAUGGUGCUCAAAUAAACAGAUGAGAAGAAAAAAAGUGAGUUUUCUAGAAAUAUAAUUAGCUGCCCAGUGAGUUUAGCAGUUGGGUAUUUUGGGCUUUGUAAAAUCAGAUAUCAUAGACCAGGGGAAUAAAGGCCAUUUGCUUAUGAAGAUCAGGUGACAAGUUAACUGGCUACAGCCUCCAAAGCAAUACGCCCUUUCAUGGUGAGAUCCCAGUUUUAACAGACUGAAGAAAGAAGUUUAAAAAUUGUCAAAUUUUAUCCAGUUUUAGGAAGAAGUUUUUGUGCUUACCUGUUUAGUUCAUUUAAGGUGCCAGUAUUUUAAAAUUCCUACUAUACCAAGAAAAUAGGUAGUUAAUGCGUAUACUAGCUACUAGUAAGUGGCUGCUGAAAGACUAUGUGUUUAAGUGGCUACUGAAAGACUAUGAGUUUAAAUGGAUUACUAGAGGAAAGAACGAUUUACAUGUGAGGGUUAUAAUUUUGGUGUGUGUGUAUGGUGGGAGGAAGAGGGACGUUGUUCAGAACUACUGUUAAUGUGAUGCCAGUGUCGGAAGUGGUCAGCAAGUUUUUGAGGUUCACAAAUAUCCAGCUAUUCUUGUCAAAUUAAUAUAACUUUUAUUACUCCAUAUAGGAAUAAAGUCCAAAGGUGGGGGAACAUUUUAAAUGAAUUACUUUUAUCUCAGUAGUCAAGUCUUCAGGGACUUACUUGGUGGCUCAGACGGUAAAGAAUCUGCCUGCAAUGCAGGCGACCCUAGUUCGAUCCCUGGGUCAGGAAGAUCUCCUGUAGAAGGGACUGGCAACCUACUCUAGUAUUCUUGCCUGGAGAAUUCCUUGGACAGAGGAUCCUGGUGGGCUACAGUCCGUGGGGUCGCAGAGAGUUGGACACAACUGAGCCACUGACAGACACAGAGUCAGUCUUCAGGAGACUUUCCAACCAAAUUGGAAUUCCCAGAAAAAAAUUAGGUCAUUUCAGAAGAUUAAUAAAAGAUACAACUAAGUUCCUGUAGAAGGAUCUAAAAUUUAUAAAUGAAUUAUAACUUAUUCCAGAUAUUUUACAAUAAAUGAUAAGAGAUUCUUCAAAACAUUUGGAAUAUAGAAGUGUAGCUUAAUGGGC